AACGAACGCUGGCGGCAGGCCUAACACAUGCAAGUCGAACGAGACCUUCGGGUCUAGUGGCGCACGGGUGCGUAACGCGUGGGAACCUGCCCUUAGGUUCGGAAUAACUCCCCGAAAGGGGUGCUAAUACCGGAUAAUGUCUUCGGACCAAAGAUUUAUCGCCUUUGGAUGGGCCCGCGUUGGAUUAGCUAGUUGGUAGUGUAAAAGCCUACCAAGGCGACGAUCCAUAGCUGGUCUGAGAGGAUGAGCAGCCACACUGGGACUGAGACACGGCCCAGACUCCUACGGGAGGCAGCAGUGGGGAAUAUUGGAAAAUGGGCGAAAGCCUGAUCGAGCAAUGCCGCGUGAGUGAUGAAGUCCUUAGGGUUGUAAAGCUCUUUUACCCGGGAUGAUAAUGACAGUACCGGGAGAAUAAGCUCCGGCUAACUCCGUG
This 433-nucleotide ribosomal RNA is filed under the name uncultured bacterium. RNAcentral's name for it is "partial 16S ribosomal RNA". It matches the Rfam family "Bacterial small subunit ribosomal RNA", at positions 29 to 507 of the family's 1533-position model. The record is from RNAcentral.